UACCUACCAGUGUCAACUAUCUCUUCUA
RNAcentral lists this non-coding RNA (28 nucleotides) under Mus musculus (house mouse). Lineage: Eukaryota; Metazoa; Chordata; Mammalia; Rodentia; Muridae. The record is from RNAcentral.